Long non-coding RNA from Mauremys mutica (yellowpond turtle), 259 nucleotides. RefSeq lists it as uncharacterized. The record is from RefSeq and is a predicted model, not a curated record. The transcript has 3 exons. Lineage: Eukaryota; Metazoa; Chordata; Testudines; Geoemydidae.
CCAUGGAUGCUCUCAGAACUUUUGGUUUCUUGUUUAUCUUAAUGGGUCAAACGUUUACUGAGACUCAGUUCAAAUCAAAAGUAUCCUGUUCAAAUGAUGUGGGGGAGCAGUUAGAGAUCCAAGGAUAAAUCAGCACUUCACCCUGACAACGACUCCCUUUUGUUUUAACCUUUGGAUUGCUAAAAAGACGCAGUAUGGAGAGUGAGCAGAAGUGGUGUCACUGACACUUCCCCCAAAAGGCAGAAGAAUAUUUCACACU